Molecule: non-coding RNA, 928 nt
Filed under: Solanum tuberosum (potato)
Lineage: Eukaryota; Viridiplantae; Streptophyta; Magnoliopsida; Solanales; Solanaceae
Description: Eukaryotic small subunit ribosomal RNA
Rfam family: Eukaryotic small subunit ribosomal RNA
Source: Rfam by way of RNAcentral
AUCCCAAUCAACGGUGUAGUUAGACAGUAGAUUAGAUUAGACGAUUAGAGGUUGAGAGAUCAUGAUCAUAAAAUCUACCUUGUAAAUCAGCAAUUUGAUAAUCAUUCUUAAGUUAUUACAUGAGAUGUGAUACAUUAAACCUUAAGCAUGCUGCAACUCUGGAAUUUCCCCAAUCAUGGAAAUGAUGCAUUUAUUAGAUAAAAGGUCAAUGUGGUCUCUCCCUAUAGCUGUGAUGAUUCAUUAUAACUAGACAGAUCGCACAACCAUCAUGUUGGUGAUGUAUCAUUCAAAUUUAUGCCCAAUAAACUUUUGAUGAUAGGAUAGUGGCCUACCAUGGUGGUGACUGGUGAUGGAGAAUUAGGGUUUGAUUCUGGAGAGGGAGCCUGAGAAAUGACUACUACAUCCAAGGAAGACAAAAGGAGCACAAAUUACCUAAUCCUGACAUGGGGAGGUAGUGUCAAUUAAUAACUAUAUCGGCGCUAUGAGUCUAGUUAUUGGAAUGAGUACAAUCUAAAUCCUUUAACGAGGAUCCAUUGGAGGGAAAGACUGAUGUCUACAGUAGUGGUAAUUUCAGAUCCAAUAGCGAAUAUUUACAUUUUUGUAUUUAAAAGUUUCGUAGCUUGACUUCAGGAUGGGCUAAUCGGUCCAUCCUAGGUGUGCACUAGUCGUCUCGUCCCUUUUGUCGGUGAUGUGCUCCUGGUCUUAAUUGGCCGAGUCGUGCCUCUAGCGCUGUUACUUUGAAGAAAUUAAUGUUCUCAAAGCAAGACUACGCUAUGUAUACAUUAGCAUUUGAUAACUGUAACACCCUAGAAACUAGUAGGCUAACUAGAGCUUAACGUGAGGGUUAGAGUCAUGAAUAUAACUCCCCGUACAUAAAAUAAACGUUUUCGUGUUAGGACGUCAAGCUACGACUCCUCAAGGACCAACC